GUACUGCAAGGAGAGGAAGGAAAGGAAGGAGCUCCAGGAGAAGCAGAAGAGCGUUGCGCACCCGCCGCCGGGGCCGCUCAGGGGGGACUUGGCCAAGCUCAAGCCCCUGCUGGAUCGCAGGAAGAGCCGCAACAGGCGGAAUCACCUCCCGGAGGACUAAGGGAAUGACAGACGGCCGGCCGGGAUGUAGCCGGAGCGCCGGCCACCAGCAAAACAGGGCCUGGAACCUUUUUUAUGCCGUGUCGUGAUGAAAGGGACACGCUUGAAGGGAUCAAAAGGCGCAAAAGGAUGGAUGCAUGCUUGACUCUCUGGGGAAAAAAAUGGUGCCAAAUCAUCAUUUCCAAGUCGUUAGUGUCCACUUCCAAUAUAUCAUCAGUUAAUGUCGCUAGGGACGUGGCGUUUCAAGCACCAUGUAAGCAACCCUUUCUAUUUAUUCGUGGAACUGAUGUCCUGAAUAAAUGUGUUUAGCUGAGAUUGCAUCUCUGUGAGCUUCGAAGCUAAGCUAACACGCUAACGCCACAGUACCGCGUCUUAAAAAAACUGGUUUCUAAAGAAAGAUUUCAAUUCUUGUCCUUGGUUGUAAUUUUGUUAGCUUUGCGCUAGUUAACGGGCGUUAGCAACAAAACCGCAAAGUUUACAUUGAAAUUAUUUGAGGCCUUUUCACACAGUCUCAAUAAUGACCUUCAUUUGUCAUUGAGUCGUUCAGAAUAACACUUCCAGUGGCGUUUGUUUGAUGCUAACUAAGCUACUGAUAGCUAGCUUCCGUUUCCUGAGUGAUAUUUUUCAGUGUUGGUGUGCAGUAUAAAAAGUCUUGCUUUUGAAUAUGAA
This is a long non-coding RNA of Hippocampus comes (tiger tail seahorse), 828 nucleotides long. RefSeq lists it as uncharacterized. NCBI's taxonomy places the organism in Eukaryota, Metazoa, Chordata, Actinopteri, Syngnathiformes, Syngnathidae. The transcript is spliced from 2 exons. The record is from RefSeq and is a predicted model, not a curated record.